RNAcentral lists this ribosomal RNA (489 nucleotides) under uncultured bacterium. RNAcentral describes it as "bacterial SSU rRNA". It matches the Rfam family "Bacterial small subunit ribosomal RNA", at positions 26 to 521 of the family's 1533-position model. The record is from RNAcentral.
AGGACGAACGCUGGCGGCGUGCUUAACACAUGCAAGUCGAGCGAAGCGCCUGUUGUAGCUUGCUACGGUGGGUGACUGAGCGGCGAACGGGUGAGUAACACGUGGGUGAUCUACCUGGAAGUCUGGGAUAACAGUUCGAAAGGGCUGCUAAUACCGGAUGACAUCGAUAAUUUACGGAUUAUUGAUCAAAGCGUUACGGAGUGCUUUCAGAUGAGCCCGCGUUCCAUUAGCUAGUUGGUGGGGUAAAGGCCUACCAAGGCGACGAUGGGUAGCCGGUCUGAGAGGAUGGUCGGCCACACUGGAACUGAGACACGGUCCAGACUCCUACGGGAGGCAGCAGUGGGGAAUUUUGCGCAAUGGGGGCAACCCUGACGCAGCGACGCCGCGUGAGUGACGAAGGCCUUCGGGUUGUAAAGCUCUGUCUGGGGGGAAGAUAGUGACGGUACCCCCGGAGGAAGCCCCGGCUAACUACGUGCCAGCAGCCGCGGU